GACCCGUUGGUCAAAUGGUUAAGACACGGCCCUUUCACGGCCGUAACAUGGGUUCAAAUCCCGUACGGGUCAC
RNAcentral lists this transfer RNA (73 nucleotides) under Lactobacillus helveticus. Its description in RNAcentral is "tRNA-Glu". It matches the Rfam family "tRNA". From Rfam's summary of the family: Transfer RNA (tRNA) molecules are approximately 80 nucleotides in length. Their secondary structure includes four short double-helical elements and three loops (D, anti-codon, and T loops). Further hydrogen bonds mediate the characteristic L-shaped molecular structure. tRNAs have two regions of fundamental functional importance: the anti-codon, which is responsible for specific mRNA codon recognition, and the 3' end, to which the tRNAs corresponding amino acid is attached (by aminoacyl-tRNA synthetases). tRNAs cope with the degeneracy of the genetic code in two manners: having more than one tRNA (with a specific anti-codon) for a particular amino acid; and 'wobble' base-pairing, i.e. permitting non-standard base-pairing at the 3rd anti-codon position. Lineage: Bacteria; Bacillati; Bacillota; Bacilli; Lactobacillales; Lactobacillaceae. The record is from RNAcentral.